UACGUAGGUGGCAAGCGUUGUCCGGAAUUACUGGGUGUAAAGGGAGCGUAGGCGGGAAGCCAAGUUGGGUGUGAAAUGCCGCAGCUUAACUGCGGAGCUGCACCCAAAACUGGUUUUCUUGAGUGAUGUAGAGGCAGGCGGAAUUCUUAGUGUAGCGGUGAAAUGCGUAGAUAUGACAUAGAACACCGAUAGCGGAGGCAGCUUGCUACACAGUCAUUGACACUGAGGCACGAAAGCGUGGGGAUCAAACAGG
This 253-nucleotide ribosomal RNA is filed under the name uncultured bacterium. RNAcentral describes it as "partial 16S ribosomal RNA". It matches the Rfam family "Bacterial small subunit ribosomal RNA", at positions 524 to 776 of the family's 1533-position model. The record is from RNAcentral.